Molecule: ribosomal RNA, 771 nt
Filed under: uncultured bacterium
Lineage: Bacteria
Description: bacterial SSU rRNA
Rfam family: Bacterial small subunit ribosomal RNA
Source: RNAcentral
GCUGGCGGCGUGCCUACACAUGCAAGUCGAGCGAAGCAUUUAGGUUAGCCUGCUAAUCUUUAUGACUGAGCGGCGAACGGGUGAGUAACACGUGGGUAAUCUACCUGAAAGUCUGGGAUAACAGUUCGAAAGGGCUACUAAUACCGGAUGACAUUGAUGAUGUAGAGUCAUCAAUCAAAGCGUUACGGAGCGCUUUCAGAUGAGCCCGCGUCCCAUUAGCUAGUUGGUGAGGUAACGGCUCACCAAGGCGACGAUGGGUAGCCGGCCUGAGAGGGUGUACGGCCACACUGGGACUGAGACACGGCCCAGACUCCUACGGGAGGCAGCAGUAGGGAAUAUUGCGCAAUGGGGGAAACCCUGACGCAGCGACGCCGCGUGAGUGAAGAAGGCCUUAGGGUUGUAAAGCUCUUUCAGUGGGGAAGAUAAUGACGGUACCCACAGAAGAAGCCCCGGCUAACUCCGUGCCAGCAGCCGCGGUAAUACGGAGGGGGCUAGCGUUGUUCGGAAUUACUGGGCGUGAAGCGCGCGUAGGCGGACUGGAAAGUUGGGGGUGAAAUCCCGGGGCUCAACCUCGGAACUGCCUUCAAAACUAUCAGUCUGGAGUUCGAGAGAGGUGAGUGGAAUUCCGAGUGUAGAGGUGAAAUUCGUAGAUAUUCGGAGGAACACCCAGUGGCGAAGGCGGCUCACUGGCUCGAUACUGGACGCUGAGGUGCGAAAGCGUGGGGAGCAAACAGGNAUUAGAUACCCUGGUAGUCCACGCCGUAAACGAUG